Molecule: ribosomal RNA, 480 nt
Filed under: uncultured bacterium
Lineage: Bacteria
Description: partial 16S ribosomal RNA
Rfam family: Bacterial small subunit ribosomal RNA
Source: RNAcentral
GACGAACGCUGGCGGCGUGCCUAACACAUGCAAGUCGAGCGAAUGAAGUUCCUUCGGGAACGGAUUUAGCGGCGGACGGGUGAGUAACACGUGGGCAACCUGCCUCAUAGAGGGGAAUAGCCUUCCGAAAGGGAGAUUAAUACCGCAUAAGAUUGUAGUACCGCAUGGUACAGCAAUUAAAGGAGCAAUCCGCUAUGAGAUGGGCCCGCGGCGCAUUAGCUAGUUGGUGAGGUAACGGCUCACCAAGGCGACGAUGCGUAGCCGACCUGAGGGGGUGAUCGGCCACAUUGGGACUGGGACACGGCCCAGACUCCUACGGGAGGCAGCAGUGGGGAAUAUUGAACAAUGGGGGAAACCCUGAUGCAGCAACGCCGCGUGAGUGAUGACGGCCUUCGGGUUGUAAAGCUCUGUCUUCAGGGACGAUAAUGACGGUACCUGAGGAGGAAGCCACGGCUAACUACGUGCCAGCAGCCGCCGUAA